ACUCCGGUUGAUCCUGCCGGACCCGACCGCUAUCGGGGUAGGGCUAAGCCAUGGGAGUCGAACGCCCCGCCGCUGCGGGGCGUGGCGGACGGCUGAGUAACACGUGGCUAACCUACCCUCGGGACGGGGAUAACCCCUCGGGAAACUGGGGCUAAUCCCCGAUAGGCGGGGGGUGCCUGGAAGGGUCCUCCGCCGAAAGGGGCCGCGGGGGGUUAUCGCCCGCGGUCCGCCCGAGGAUGGGGCUGCGGCCCAUCACGGUAGUUGGCGGGGUAAUGGCCCGCCAAGCCUACGACGGGUAGGGGCCGUGAGAGCGGGAGCCCCCAGAUGGGCACUGAGACAAGGGCCCAGGCCCUACGGGGCGCACCAGGCGCGAAAACUCCGCAAUGCGGGCAACCGUGACGGGGCUACCCCGAGUGCCCCCCUUGGGGGGGCUUUUCCCCGCUGUAAGUAGGCGGGGGAAUAAGCGGGGGGCAAGACUGGUGUCAGCCGCCGCGGUAAUACCAGCCCCGCGAGCGGUCGGGGUGCUUACUGGGCCUAAAGCGCCCGUAGCCGGCUCGACAAGUCCCCGCCUAAAGCCCCGGGCUCAACCCGGGGAGUGGCGGGGAUACUGUCGGGCUAGGGGGCGGGAGAGGCCGAGGGUACUCCCGGGGUAGGGGCGAAAUCCAUUAAUCCCGGGAGGACCACCAGUGGCGAAGGCGCUCGGCUGGAACGCGCCCAACGGUGAGGGGCGAAAGCCGGGGGAGCGAACCGGAUUAGAUACCCGGGUAGUCCCGGCUGUAAACGAUGCGGGCUAGGUGUUGGGCGGGCGUGCGAGCCCGCCCAGUGCCGCAGGGAAGCCGUUAAGCCCGCCGCCUGGGGAGUACGGCCGCAAGGCUGAAACUUAAAGGAAUUGGCGGGGGAGCACCACAAGGGGUGGAGCCUGCGGCUUAAUUGGAGUCAACGCCGGGAACCUCCACCGGGGGCGACAGCAGGAUGACGGCCAGGCUGAAGGCCUUGCCCGACGCGCUGAGGGGAGGUGCAUGGCCGUCGCCAGCUCGUGCCGUGAGGUGUCCUGUUAAGUCAGGCAACGAGCGAGACCCCCGCCCCUAGUUGCCAUCCCCGGGGCGACCCGGGGGGCACACUAGGGGGACUGCCGCCGCUAAGGCGGAGGAAGGAGGGGGCAACGGCAGGUCAGCAUGCCCCUAAACCCCCGGGCCGCACGCGGGCUACAAUGGCGGGGACAGCGGGUGCCGACCCCGAAAGGGGGAGGCAAUCCCUCAAACCCCGCCUCAGUUGGGAUCGAGGGCUGCAACUCGCCCUCGUGAACGUGGAAUCCCUAGUAACCGCGCGUCAUCAUCGCGCGGUGAAUACGUCCCUGCUCCUUGCACACACUGCCCGUCGCUCCACCCGAGGGGGGAGGGGGUGAGGCCCUCUCCGCCGGGAGGGGGUCGAACCCCCUCCCCCCGAGGGGGGAGAACUCGUAACAAGGUAGCCGUAGGGGAACCUGCGGCUGGAUCACCUCC
Molecule: ribosomal RNA, 1502 nt
Filed under: Aeropyrum pernix
Lineage: Archaea; Thermoproteati; Thermoproteota; Thermoprotei; Acidilobales; Acidilobaceae
Description: 16S ribosomal RNA
Rfam family: Archaeal small subunit ribosomal RNA
Source: RNAcentral